Molecule: transfer RNA, 58 nt
Filed under: Candidatus Gullanella endobia
Lineage: Bacteria; Pseudomonadati; Pseudomonadota; Gammaproteobacteria; Enterobacterales; Enterobacteriaceae
Rfam family: tRNA
About the family: Transfer RNA (tRNA) molecules are approximately 80 nucleotides in length. Their secondary structure includes four short double-helical elements and three loops (D, anti-codon, and T loops).
Source: Rfam by way of RNAcentral
GUAGUUUAAAGGCAGAACAACAGCUUCCCAAGCUGUAUACGAGGGUUCAAUUCCCUUC